AGCAUGUCAUCACCGAACAAGCUACCGUCGUGCGUGCUUCAUCUCCGAGCAUGGUACCACUGUGCGUGCUUCAUCACCGAGUAUGUUAUUGCCAUGCGCAUUCUCAAGACAUUCUCUCCUACUACCAAGCAUGUCAUUGUUGUGCACGUCACAUCAUUACCCCAGUAGGAGGUACACCUGUGCUGCAUCCCAUCAUCCCCAGUGGAGUUAGGUGUAUGCCAAGAAAAAAGGGGUCAUGCUUGCCUCUGCAAUCCC
Molecule: long non-coding RNA, 255 nt
Filed under: Amborella trichopoda
Lineage: Eukaryota; Viridiplantae; Streptophyta; Magnoliopsida; Amborellales; Amborellaceae
Description: long non-coding RNA (ATRI_LNC001274)
Source: RNAcentral